Molecule: ribosomal RNA, 258 nt
Filed under: uncultured Leptotrichia sp.
Lineage: Bacteria; Fusobacteriati; Fusobacteriota; Fusobacteriia; Fusobacteriales; Leptotrichiaceae
Description: partial 16S ribosomal RNA
Rfam family: Bacterial small subunit ribosomal RNA
Source: RNAcentral
GGCGGACGGGUGAGUAACGCGUAAAGAACUUGCCCUUUAGACUGGGAUAACAGAGGGAAACUUCUGAUAAUACUGGAUAAGUUAGUAUAUCGCAUGAUAUGCAAAUGAAAGCUACGGCACUAAAGGAGAGCUUUGCGUCCUAUUAGCUAGUUGGUAAGGUAAGAGCUUACCAAGGCGAUGAUAGGUAGCCGGCCUGAGAGGGUGGACGGCCACAAGGGGACUGAGAUACGGCCCUUACUCCUACGGGAGGCAGCAGCA